GAAUUUGUCAGUUGGUCGGGCUUCAUUGUUCGUACUGACUUGAUGGAUUCUUACCUUCUGAAUAACCAGCAUGCUAUUAAGUUAGUGCGUUGGGGAAGCAGAUCUAUUACCUUGAAAAAAUUAGAGUGCUUAAAGCGGGCUAGUGCUUGAAUAGAUUAGCAUGGAAUAAUAAAAUAGGACGGCAUGGUUCUAUUUUGUUGGUUUCUAGGAUCACCGUA
RNAcentral lists this ribosomal RNA (218 nucleotides) under uncultured fungus. RNAcentral's name for it is "partial small subunit ribosomal RNA". The stretch from base 47 to 218 matches the Rfam family "Eukaryotic small subunit ribosomal RNA", at positions 692 to 864 of the family's 1831-position model. Lineage: Eukaryota; Fungi. The record is from RNAcentral.